This 2256-nucleotide long non-coding RNA is filed under the name Marmota monax (woodchuck). The record is from RNAcentral. Lineage: Eukaryota; Metazoa; Chordata; Mammalia; Rodentia; Sciuridae.
GUUUCCGGCCGCGGGGGCGGGGCGAGGCUGGGCCCGGCCUGGGCGGAGCUCUAGGGCGCACGCUCGGGAGCAAGGCCUGCUGGGAGUUGUGGUUUCUCCCCUGGGGUCUGUGAGGAGAUCCACGUGCUGCCUAGUGAGCCUCCAGCCUAACGCCGAGCCUGUCCAGGUUUUGGUCCGCUGGCUUAGGGCAAGGUUCUGUUUUUGUUUCGUCCUUUCAUUUCAUAGCCUCCAAAAACGUUAAUUGGGCUAAGGUCGGAGCCCAGAGGAGAGACGUGGAGUUUGUGCGUGGCCUGCACGAGGACUGGAGUGGAUCCCCAGCCCCGUGGGGGCGACGGGAGAAGGGACAAAAGGAAGAGAGAAAGAAAGAAACCCAACGGGGUUCGUAGUAGGUGAUGUUUGUGAUUCAACACGAACCUAACUUGCUUGGUAACUCGUGUUCGUUUUAUUCCACGACCCAGAACCACCUUGUGAGACAGCUGGAUCUGAAUUCGUUUCCCUGUUUCACUCAUGAGGAAACUGAAGCUCAGAGUGUCCAAGGAAACCGGAUGUUGAGUAACCGGAAGCAAGGCCUAGCUGUGUUUGCACAACUGUCCGAACAGUGUAAGAGCUGCACCAACUAAACCAAAAACGUGGAAGGAAACAGCUCUAACUGGGUGUUAGAGCGGUCCAGUAAUGACUUCAAUUGUGCAAUGGUUUUGAAGUUACCUUUAUUUUAAAUUCAUUGUGUUUUCCCCAGCAGAACAAUAGAAUUCUUUACAAAUGGUGGCAAUUGGUGGCUUUGGCUGCCUACCAAAAGACAAACUUACAGAUGUUGUGCAAAGUGCCUGGUGAAGAGAAGUAAAAGGAGUGAGAGUAAAAAAUGGUGAAAAUAAGCUUAUUUAAGCCAUUAUUACUCCAGUCUGACAAUUGAUUUCAUCCUACUGAUAAGGUAAGUCUGUUUACUGUUUCAUAGGUGUUGUGGAAGACACAAGAUUUCUGGGUCAGAGACACAAGACCGUCUAUUACUCAAGACCCAAGAAGCAAGGAGCUUCAGCAUGUUUGUGUCAGUUCCUUUUGCCCUUCCCACCUCCUGAGUAACACAUGCUUGAAACAAAGGGCCCAAAUGAAUACUGUGCCCUUAGUGGAUUCACAACACAGCUAAGAAACACUGAACUUGAGGAAGCUGCCAUUCUAUAGGAAGCAGUAAGCCAACCUGUUCUUUGACCUAGAGGGAAAUAUUACUUUAUCCCUCAUGGUUGCUCAUACAAAUACAUCCCCGCAACCCUGAAAUAUAACCCCAGUGAAGAACAGUCAGGACCUUGCAUUUUUGGCAUACCUAGGAAGAUGAAGCAUGAAGAUUACAGUACUGGGCUGGGGUUGUGGCUCAGUGGUAGAGCACUUGACACGCUCGUGUGAGACACUGGGUUCAAUCCUCAGCACCACAUAAAAAUAAAUAAAAUACAGGUGUUGUGUCCAUCUACAGCUAAAAAUAUUUUUUAAAAAACAGUGGCUUAGGGAUGCAGAGAUAAGUAAGAUGAUAUCUACAAACUCCAUGAAAGGCACUAGUACGUGGUCAAACUAACAAAACACAUAUGCCUUGAUCUGGCAGUUCCACUUCCAGGAGUUCAUGCUAGUAUUACACUUUUACAGGUGUAAAAUGACUUUGUGUGUGUGUGUGUGUGUGUGUGUGAAGGGAAGUUGUUGCAGUACUGUUAGUUUCCAAUGGUUUGUGAAUUCAAUCUAACAGUUACUGGUUAAAUGAUACAUCCACAAUGGAAAACUGAAUCAUUGUAAAUAAAGAGUAAGGAAACUGUUUAUGCACUGACGUGGAAAGAUCUCAUGGAGACUGUAUAUGGUUAAGGUAGAACAAGGUGCAGCUCAGACUAGAGCACAUAAUACCAUCCUGUGUGAAAGAGGAAGCAUAUAUAUAUAUAUAUAUAUAUAUAUAUAUAUAUAUAUAUUUAGAAAUAUCACAAGAAACUGAUAACAUUAUGCUGCUGGGGAGGGAGACUAGACAGCUAGGGUGAAGACAAGGGUAGAAAGGAGACUUUUCACUUUAUUCCUGUUUUGGUUUGGAUCUGGAAUGUACCCCCAAAACUCAUGUAUUGAAGUCUUGAUUCCACUGCAUCAGUAUUUAGAGGUAGGGCUUUUAGGAAAUCACUGCUCACAUCCUGCGCUAGUGAUGGGAUCAGGGUCACUCCGCAAUGAAAAGACCACACAAACACAGAAGUACAUUUUGCAGGAGUCAGGGAUGGCUCUUCGACCUCGAGGGUCAAG